RNAcentral lists this ribosomal RNA (270 nucleotides) under uncultured archaeon. RNAcentral's name for it is "partial 16S ribosomal RNA". It matches the Rfam family "Archaeal small subunit ribosomal RNA", at positions 477 to 747 of the family's 1478-position model. The record is from RNAcentral.
CUGCAGCUCAAGUGGUGACCGUUAUUAUUGGGCCUAACACGUCCGUAGCCUGUCUAUUAAAUGCCUGGGUAAAUCGUGUAGCUUAACUAUACGAAUUCCGGGUAGACUGAUAGGCUUGAGACCGGGAGAGGCUAGAGGUACUCCUGGGGUAGAGGUGAAAUUCUGUAAUCCUGGGGGGACCACCAGUGGCGAAGGCGUCUAGCUAGAACGGGUCUGACGGUGAGGGACGAAGCCCUGGGGCGCAAACCGGAUUAGAUACCCGAGUAGUCC